UAAGGGCAGUCCCUGGAUACAAGAACAAGAGACUUUUACAAAUUGUUCUACAUGUGUUCUGUGGCACAUGCAUACACAUACUAAAUAAAUAAACAUGAUUCUUGAAAGUAAAGAUUAAAUGGAGAAUGAUUUAGGCCUGCUGUUGACCUCUGACCUUUAUACAUUUGCGCUUCAUGCAUGUGUGUGCAGACUCCUACACGCAGUAAAAACUGGAAAGCCACCGUGCUCCCAGUGAGGACAGUAUCCUCUCAGGCUGAGACUGUGACUGUUGAGGAUGACACCCAGGAGCAAGGGCAGCCUGACGUGUGGGGGCUGGGAGGACCGUGCCCACCAACAGCCUGUCACGAUGAGUUUUGUAAGACAGUCGCUGAGCUAAAUGUGGGGCUGCACCUUUAAUUCCAGGCAAAGCUUUGAUUUUGAGGCCAGCUUGGUCUACACAGAGAGACCCUAUCUUGAAGAAAGAAAAAAAAAA
Molecule: long non-coding RNA, 472 nt
Filed under: Rattus norvegicus (Norway rat)
Lineage: Eukaryota; Metazoa; Chordata; Mammalia; Rodentia; Muridae
Description: long non-coding RNA NONRATT014319
Source: RNAcentral